UGGGGAAUCUUCCGCAAUGGACGAAAGUCUGACGGAGCGACGCCGCGUGAGUGAAGAAGGCCUUCGGGUCGUAAAGCUCUGUCAAUGGGGACGAACGAGUCGGUCAGGAAAUGGGCCGGCAGUGACGGUACCCAUGAAGGAAGCCACGGCUAACUACGUGCCAGCAGCCGCGGUAAUACGUAGGUGGCGAGCGUUGUCCGGAAUUAUUGGGCGUAAAGCGCGCGCAGGCGGAAACAUCAGUCUGUUGUGAAAAUGCGGGGCUUAACCCCGUAGAUGCGAUGGAUACUGUGUUUCUUGAGUGCAGGAGAGGAAAGCGGAAUUCCCCGUGUAGCGGUGAAAUGCGUAGAGAUGGGGAGGAACACCAGUGGCGAAGGCGGCUUUCUGGACUGUGUCUGACGCUGAGGCGCGAAAGCUAGGGGAGCGAACGGG
Molecule: ribosomal RNA, 429 nt
Filed under: uncultured bacterium
Lineage: Bacteria
Description: bacterial SSU rRNA
Rfam family: Bacterial small subunit ribosomal RNA
Source: RNAcentral